GGGGGUUUAGGUUAAUCAAGACUACGAGUUUUCAAGAUUCGAGGUGCUGAAGGCGACUCUCG
RNAcentral lists this transfer RNA (62 nucleotides) under Polyacanthorhynchus caballeroi. RNAcentral describes it as "tRNA-Trp". Lineage: Eukaryota; Metazoa; Acanthocephala; Polyacanthocephala; Polyacanthorhynchidae. The record is from RNAcentral.